UCUUUUAAUUGAAGGCUUGUAUGAAUGGUUGGACGAGAUAUUAACUGUCUCAAUUUAAAUUUUAGAACUUUAUAUUUUAGUAAAAAAGCUAAAAUAUUAUUAAAAGACGAGAAGACCCUAUAGAUCUUUAUAGUUUAUAUAUAUUAAUUUUAUAUAGAAUAUUUCAAAAUUAAUAUAUUAAACUAUUUUAUUGGGGUGAUAAUAAGAUUUAACAAACUCUUAUAUAUUUAUACAUAAAUUAAUGGUUAAUUGAUCCUUUAUUAGUGAUUAUUAGAUUAAGUUACCUUAGGGAUAACAGCGUAAUUUUUUUAGAGAGUUCAUAUCGAUAAAAAAGAUUGC
Molecule: ribosomal RNA, 339 nt
Filed under: Oxycera trilineata
Lineage: Eukaryota; Metazoa; Arthropoda; Insecta; Diptera; Stratiomyidae
Description: partial 16S ribosomal RNA
Source: RNAcentral